GACAGAGGGUGCAAACGUUGCUCGGAAUUACUGGGCGUAAAGCGCGUGUAGGUGGAUUGGUGUGUCAGAUGUGAAAUCCCUGGGCUCAACCCAGGAACUGCACCUGAAACUACCAGUCUUGAGUGGUGGAGAGGGAAGUGGAAUUCCUGGUGUAGAGGUGAAAUUCGUAGAUAUCAGGAGGAACACCAGUGGCGAAGGCAGGUCUCUGGGCCAUUACUGACACUGAGAAGCGAAAGCAUGGGGAGCGAACAGG
RNAcentral lists this ribosomal RNA (253 nucleotides) under uncultured bacterium. Its description in RNAcentral is "partial 16S ribosomal RNA". It matches the Rfam family "Bacterial small subunit ribosomal RNA", at positions 524 to 776 of the family's 1533-position model. The record is from RNAcentral.